This 459-nucleotide ribosomal RNA is filed under the name uncultured bacterium. Its description in RNAcentral is "partial 16S ribosomal RNA". It matches the Rfam family "Bacterial small subunit ribosomal RNA", at positions 338 to 795 of the family's 1533-position model. The record is from RNAcentral.
CCUACGGGCGGCAGCAGUGAGGAAUAUUGGUCAAUGGUCGGGAGACUGAACCAGCCAAGCCGCGUGAGGGAUGAAGGUACAGCGUAUCGUAAACCUCUUUUGUCAGGGAACAAAGGCGGGGACGUGUCCCCGGAUGAGUGUACCUGAAGAAAAAGCAUCGGCUAACUCCGUGCCAGCAGCCGCGGUAAUACGGAGGAUGCGAGCGUUAUCCGGAUUUAUUGGGUUUAAAGGGUGCGCAGGCGGCCUGUUAAGUCAGCGGGCAAAGCCCGGGGCUAAACCCCGGCGAGCCGUUGAAACUGGCGGGCUGGAGUUGGAGAGAAGUACGCGGAAUGCGCGGUGUAGCGGUGAAAUGCUUAGAUAGCGCGCAGAACUCCGAUUGCGAAGGCAGCGUACCGGCUCCACACUGACGCUGAGGCACGAAAGCGUGGGUAUCGAACAGGAUUAGAUACCCUUGUAGUC